Molecule: ribosomal RNA, 468 nt
Filed under: uncultured bacterium
Lineage: Bacteria
Description: partial 16S ribosomal RNA
Rfam family: Bacterial small subunit ribosomal RNA
Source: RNAcentral
GACGAACGCUGGCGGCGUGCUUAACACAUGCAAGUCGAACGGAAAGGCCCUGCUUUUGUGGGGUGCUCGAGUGGCGAACGGGUGAGUAACACGUGAGUAACCUGCCCUUGACUUUGGGAUAACUUCAGGAAACUGGGGCUAAUACCGGAUAGGAGCUCCGGCGGCAGGGGGGGGGUUGGAAAGUUUCGGCGGUUGGGGAUGGACUCGCGGCUUAUCAGCUUGUUGGUGGGGUAGUGGCUUACCAAGGCUUUGACGGGUAGCCGGCCUGAGAGGGUGACCGGCCACAUUGGGACUGAGAUACGGCCCAGACUCCUACGGGAGGCAGCAGUGGGGAAUAUUGCACAAUGGGCGGAAGCCUGAUGCAGCAACGCCGCGUGCGGGAUGACGGCCUUCGGGUUGUAAACCGCUUUCGCCUGUGACGAAGCGUGAGUGACGGUAAUGGGUAAAGAAGCACCGGCUAACUACGUG